AACGCUGGCGGCGUGCCUAACACAUGCAAGUCGAGCGAGGGUUUGCUCAGUAUUGAGUAUUCUAAGACUAGAAUGUUCAAUUCUGAGCAAAACCAAGCGGCGGACGGGUGAGUAACGCGUGGGUAACCUGCCCUAUACACAUGGAUAACAUACUGAAAAGUUUACUAAUACAUGAUAAUAUAUAUUUGCGGCAUCGCAGAUAUAUCAAAGUGUUAGCGGUAUAGGAUGGACCCGCGUCUGAUUAGCUAGUUGGUGAGAUAACUGCCCACCAAGGCGACGAUCAGUAGCCGACCUGAGAGGGUGAUCGGCCACAUUGGAACUGAGACACGGUCCAAACUCCUACGGGAGGCAGCAGUGGGGAAUAUUGCACAAUGGGCGAAAGCCUGGUGCAGCAACGCCGCGUGAACGAUGAAGGUCUUCGGAUCGUAAAGUUCUGUUGCAGGGGAAAAUAAUGACGGUACCCUGUGAGGAAGCCCCGGCUAACUACGUGCCAGCAGCCGCGGUAAUACGUAGGGGGCUAGCGUUAUCCGGAUUUACUGGGCGUAAAGGGUGCGUAGGUGGUCCUUCAAGUCGGUGGUUAAAGGCUACGGCUCAACCGUAGUAAGCCGCCGAAACUGGAGGACUUGAGUGCAGGAGAGGAAAGUGGAAUUCCCAGUGUAGCGGUGAAAUGCGUAGAUAUUGGGAGGAACACCAGUAGCGAAGGCGGCUUUCUGGACUGCAACUGACACUGAGGCACGAAAGCGUGGGUAGCAAACAGGAUUAGAUACCCUGGUAGUCCACGCUGUAAACGAUGAGUACUAGGGGGUCGGGGGUUACCCCCCCUCCGGUGCCGCAGCUAACGCAUUAAGUACUCCGCCCGGGGAGUACGCAGGCACGUGUGAAAACUCAAAGGAAUUGACGGGGACCUGCACAAGUAGAGGA
This 921-nucleotide ribosomal RNA is filed under the name uncultured organism. RNAcentral describes it as "SSU rRNA". It matches the Rfam family "Bacterial small subunit ribosomal RNA", at positions 32 to 936 of the family's 1533-position model. The record is from RNAcentral.